GGGGUCCUAUUACAAAUCCCCGUGAGAUUUUGCUUGGCUUUGCUUUAACUGUGCAGCUGAAUUUGGGGCAAGAUCAAGAUUCUUACAGUGUUAAAUAUUCCCACCCAGGAGGUAUGCCUCUGCAUGCAUUUAUUCUGGCCUAGAUUUGUAUCUCUAAUUGGAACAGAGAAAACACCACCAGGCUUUCCAGUCCCCUCAGUGCAGAAAUGAUAGGAUUUAACCUGGGAUGGUGUUGCAGGAUUCUUGUACAGAGAGGCGGGAUACUGAGGCUUUUUGCCAGGAAGCAGCGAUUAUUCGUGCCGGCACUGGCUCAGCAAAUUGAUAUCCAAAGGCUGAACCCCGAAUGCAUGGGGUGCUGUUGUAUACACCCUUGGUUAUUUUUUUCUUUUACACUUUGGUCCCUUUGUCCCCCUUAGAAGAGAACAUACAUUCUGCAGUUCUGGUUGGAUGGUCUGUGUUACAAAGUUGCACAUGGAUACUGAUGACGUCUUGCUGCGGCAGAGGUACACACGUGCACACAGAUGCUGGUUAGGCCAUGUUGCCUUCCCUUUGCUCUGGGAGGGCCCUUCCCACAGCAGAGGACAGAAACUGAGCCUUGAGGAAACCAUGCAGUUAUGUGGCCAGGGCAGAAAGCAGAUCCAGAAAAAGAGGGCACAGAUGUUGCUGUGGGAGAACCAGGAUCCCGGGCUCACGGCCUAUGAGGAUGGUGAAACCAAGUGCUCCCUUGCACAGUGGCAGCUGGUGGGACACAGGCAGCAUCUCAGCACACACGCACUUGCCCAGUGGUGGUGUCUGUGGUCGGUGUGGAUCCUUAAGGGGGUAACUUUCUCCCAAAGGGAAACCUCAGCCUUGCCAGUCAUGUGGCCCAGGACCGGAUACCGCUCUGGCGGAAGCCAUGGGUGCAGAAGGGAGUGUGCUCAGCGAGAGAGACAGCUGGGCAGCCCAGGAGCCCUCCCACAUGGUGCCCAGGGCAGACAGGCUGGGGAGAUAUCAGCAUCUUGCUGAGCACACAUGGUCAUGGGCAUCACUCUCUGAAGCAGGGCCAGUCUCACAAGCACAUGCAACCCAAGCAGUUGCGCAGGACUCUGCUGUUGAAGGGUCCUACAAGCCACGUGGCCCCACUGCUCUGCAAGAAUCUGUCCUUAUCAGGAUGUAGGACUCUACGUGACUUUGGAGAAAAAUCUGAACAGAAACUCUAGGUUCCUGUAAGGGCCCAGAUUAAUGUACACCCCGGUCCCUACACAGAGUAGCAGAAGACUGGAGCCUUUAGCAUUCAGAAGAGGAAUUCAGAGAGCCUGCUCUGAGGCCAGGGAUGGCUCCCUCCCGUCCCAUGGUGAGCAGGCCCUGGGGGAUGGUGCACUCUGACCCCGCCGUGUCCUUGCUGAGGGUUUCCUUGCCCAUUGAUGCUUUUGAUGACAGCAAUUCUUCUUCCAUGAGGUAGACAGGGAUUCUCAACCACCCCUUCUGCUGUCUUCAUCAAGGAUCCUUCCAGAUAGUUCCCCAUCGGACACCUGCUUCCAUAGACCCUCCCAUGCACACUGGAAGAGCUGCCCUGGUGUGGAACAGGAACACAAUGGACAGGGGGCCUCCCCUCCCUGCUGAGAGAAGCAUGUUGGAGCAAUGUCAUAUACCUUCCUGACAGUGCCCCGUGCUUACCUGUGAAUGAGGGGAAGGAGUUUUAAGAGUUAUCAGAUAAGGUCCCAGCCAGCAGAGAGGUCCUGGUUGGGGACUGGGGUAUAGGUAAGCCAUCCGAGUUCAGUCACAGCCCCAGAGAUCAGAGCUCAUUCCAGGGUAGGAAGUGAUCCAAGGGCAUAAGCAUGCAGAGCCUUGCUUUGGAGUUGGAUACAAACCAAGAGAGUGAACUGGGAUGCUCCCCAGAGGGAGCAGCAGAGUCAAAUGAGUUUUUUGAAGAUAAAGGGGACUGGUCUUUUCCCUGGGUGAAAGCAGACAUGAUGAAACAUAGGGAUGGAUUUAUCCUGUAAUGAUUAAUGUAAGGAGGGCACACUGCCUGCCAAUUACGUGCCGUUUUGCUUAAGUGCCUUAACGAUAAGAUAAGAAA
This 2059-nucleotide long non-coding RNA is filed under the name Sus scrofa (pig). Its description in RNAcentral is "lncRNA (ENSSSCG00045018022.1)". Lineage: Eukaryota; Metazoa; Chordata; Mammalia; Artiodactyla; Suidae. The record is from RNAcentral.